This 421-nucleotide ribosomal RNA is filed under the name uncultured soil bacterium. RNAcentral's name for it is "bacterial SSU rRNA". It matches the Rfam family "Bacterial small subunit ribosomal RNA", at positions 26 to 461 of the family's 1533-position model. The record is from RNAcentral.
AGAUUGAACGCUGGCGGCAUGCCUUACACAUGCAAGUCGAACGGUAGAGUAGCAAUACUCGAGAGUGGCGAACGGGUGAGUAAUAUAUCGGAACGUGCCCAGUCGUGGGGGAUAACGUAGAGAAAUUUACGCUAAUACCGCAUACGAUCUACGGAUGAAAGCGGGGGAUCGCAAGACCUCGCGCGAUUGGAGCGGCUGAUAUCAGAUUAGGUUGUUGGUGAAGGUAAAAGCUCACCAAGCCGACGAUCUGUAGCUGGUUUGAGAGAACGACCAGCCACACUAGGGACUGAGACACGGCCCAGACCUCCUACGGGAGGCAGCAGGUGGGAAUUUUGGACAAGUGGCGAAAGCCUGAUCCAGCAAUGCCGCGUGCAAGGGAAGACGGUCCGUUACGGUUAGUAACGUGUACGUUUAGUACCGG